This 31-nucleotide non-coding RNA is filed under the name Rattus norvegicus (Norway rat). Lineage: Eukaryota; Metazoa; Chordata; Mammalia; Rodentia; Muridae. The record is from RNAcentral.
UAGGUGUGAAAAUUCAACCAGGCCUCUUUGU